RNAcentral lists this small RNA (395 nucleotides) under uncultured Glomus. RNAcentral describes it as "SSU rRNA". It matches the Rfam family "Eukaryotic small subunit ribosomal RNA", at positions 569 to 969 of the family's 1831-position model. The record is from RNAcentral. Lineage: Eukaryota; Fungi; Glomeromycota; Glomeromycetes; Glomerales; Glomeraceae.
AGCAGCCGCGGUAAUUCCAGCUCCAAUAGCGUAUAUUAAAGUUGUUGCAGUUAAAAAGCUCGUAGUUGAAUUUCGGGGUCAGUAGAUUGGUCGUGCCACUGGUAUGUACUGGUCUUACUGGCUCCUCCUUCCUGAUGAACCGUAAUGCCAUUAAUUUGGUGUUGCGGGGAGACUGGACUGUUACUUUGAAAAAUUAGAGUGUUUAAAGCAGGCUAACGCUUGAAUACAUUAGCAUGGAAUAAUGAAAUAGGACGUUCGAUCUUAUUUUGUUGGUUUCUAAGAUUGACGUAAUGAUUAAUAGGGAUAGUUGGGGGCAUUAGUAUUCAAUUGUCAGAGGUGAAAUUCUUGGAUUUAUUGAAGACUAACUACUGCGAAAGCAUUUGCCAAGGAUGUUU